UACGAAGGGGGCUAUCGUUGUUCGGAUUUACUGGGCGUAAAGCGCGUGUAGGCGGGUCGUUAAGUUGGGGGUGAAAUCCCGGAGCUCAACUCCGGAACUGCCUCCAAAACUGGCGACCUGGAGCAAGAUAGAGGCGAGUGGAAUUCCGAGUGUAGAGGUGAAAUUCGUAGAUAUUCGGAGGAACACCAGUGGCGAAGGCGACUCGCUGGAUCUUUGCUGACGCUGAGACGCGAAAGCGUGGGGAGAAAACAGG
This 253-nucleotide ribosomal RNA is filed under the name uncultured bacterium. RNAcentral's name for it is "partial 16S ribosomal RNA". It matches the Rfam family "Bacterial small subunit ribosomal RNA", at positions 524 to 776 of the family's 1533-position model. The record is from RNAcentral.